RNAcentral lists this ribosomal RNA (504 nucleotides) under Peribacillus simplex. Its description in RNAcentral is "bacterial SSU rRNA". It matches the Rfam family "Bacterial small subunit ribosomal RNA", at positions 73 to 565 of the family's 1533-position model. Lineage: Bacteria; Bacillati; Bacillota; Bacilli; Caryophanales; Bacillaceae. The record is from RNAcentral.
CGGGGCUUGCUCCCUGAAGAUUAGCGGCGGACGGGUGAGUACACGUGGGCAACCUGCCUAUAAGACUGGGAUAACUUCGGGAAACCGGAGCUAAUACCGGAUACGUUCUUUUCUCGCAUGAGAGAAGAUGGAAAGACGGUUUACGCUGUCACUUAUAGAUGGGCCCGCGGCGCAUUAGCUAGUUGGUGAGGUAUGGCUCACCAAGGCGACGAUGCGUAGCCGACCUGAGAGGGUGAUCGGCCACACUGGGACUGAGACACGGCCCAGACUCCUACGGGAGGCAGCAGUAGGGAAUCUUCCGCAAUGGACGAAAGUCUGACGGAGCAACGCCGCGUGAACGAAGAANGCCUUCGGGUCGUAAAGUUCUGUUGUUAGGGAAGAACAAGUACCAGAGUAACUGCUGGUACCUUGACGGUACCUACCCAGAAAGCCACGGCUAACUACGUGCCAGCAGCCGCGGUAAUACGUANGUGGCAAGCGUUGUCCGNAUUUUGGGGUGUAAAG